CCGACGCAGCCGCCGGCCCGCCCGCCAGUCUGGGCUCCUGCACAUCUGGCGAUCCCGCCACAUCUGGGCAGCCGGCGCUGGAGCAUGAACGGCUCUCAGGCGGGCGCCGCGGCUCAGGCCGCCUGGCUGAGCUCCUGCUGUAACCAGUCGGCGUCGCCGCCGGAGCCCCCCGAGGGGCCGCGCGCGGUGCAGGCGGUGGUGCUCGGCGUGCUGUCCCUGCUGGUGCUUUGCGGGGUCCUGUUCCUGGGCGGCGGCCUCCUCCUCCGCGCCCAGGGCCUGACAGCGCUGCUGACCCGCGAGCAGCGCGCGUCCCGCGAGCCCGAGCCGGGCAGUGCCAGCGGAGAGGACGGCGACGACGACUCCUAGGCGCCCGGCUGCGCUCGGUGGUCGCGGCCUCCAGGCAGCCCCUGACUCCGAGCGGUCCGGAGCAUGCCCGACGGCUGCUGCGGUCCCGACCCCUUACCCGAAGCGGCGCGCCCCACACAGAGAGGAGAAGAAGAGAAGAGGAGAGGAGAGAAGAGAAGAAGAGAGGAGAGAAGAGAAGAGGAGAGGAGAGAAGAGAACCUCAGAGGAUCCAGAACGGCAGCUGGUCCUUGCUGGACUGUUCCUGUCCAUGUGCCUGGUCAUGGUGCUGGGGAACCUGCUCAUCAUCCGGCCAUGAGCCCUGACUCCCACCUCCACACCUCCAUGUACUUCUUCCUCUCCAACCUGUCCUUGCCUGACAUCGGUUUCACCUCCACCACGGUCCCCCAGAUGACUGUGGACAUCCAGUCUCGCAGCAGAGUCAUCUCCUAUGCAGGCUGCCUGACUCAGAAGUCUCUCUUUGCCAUUUUUGGAGGCACGGAAGAGAGACAUGCUCCUGAGUGUGAUGGCCUAUGACCGGUUUGUAGCCAUCUGUCACCCUCUAUAUCAUUCAGCCAUCAUGAACCUGUGUUUCUGUGGCUUCCUAGUUUUGCUGUCUUUUUUUUUUCUCAGUCUUUUAGACUCCCAGCUGUACAACUUGAUUGCCUUACUAAUGACCUGCUUCAAGGAGGUGGACAUUCCUAAUUUCUUCUGUGACCUUUCUCAACUCCCCCAUCUUGCCGUUGUGACACCUUCAUCAAUAACAUAAUCAUGUAUUUCCCUACUGCCAUAUUUGGUUUUCUUCCCAUCUCGGGGACCCUUUUCUCUUACUAUAAAAUUGUUUCCUCCAUUCUGAGGGUUUCAUCAUCAGGUGGGAAGUAUAAAGCCUUCUCCACCUGUGGGUCUCACCUGUCAGUUGUUUGCUGAUUUUAUGGAAGAGGUGUUGGAGGGUACCUCAGUUCAGAUGUGUCAUCUUCCCCCAGAAAGGGUGCAGUGGCUGCAGUGAUGUACACGGUGGUCACCUCCAUGCUCAACCCCUUUAUCUACAGCCUGGGAAACAGGGAUAUUAAAAGUGUCUUGCGGCGGCCGC
RNAcentral lists this long non-coding RNA (1432 nucleotides) under Homo sapiens (human). Its description in RNAcentral is "long non-coding RNA NONHSAT028330.2". Lineage: Eukaryota; Metazoa; Chordata; Mammalia; Primates; Hominidae. The record is from RNAcentral.